Molecule: long non-coding RNA, 21177 nt
Filed under: Phaseolus vulgaris (common bean)
Lineage: Eukaryota; Viridiplantae; Streptophyta; Magnoliopsida; Fabales; Fabaceae
Description: long non-coding RNA (PVUL_LNC002739)
Source: RNAcentral
UACCUCCUCAGUUAGAUAACAUGCAUAAUGUCUUUCACGUGUCUCAGCUAAGGAAAUAUAUCCCAAGCCCUAGUCGCGUAUUGGAUAAUUUGUCUUUUGAAGCAAAACCCGUUAGGAUUGAAGAUCAUUAUAAUAAACAAUUCAGAGGCAAGACCAUCAAUAUGGUGAAGGUGGUGUGUGAUGAUAGAUUUGGUGAUUUAACUUGGGAAUUUGAAAAAAAAUCCAUGAGAAAAACUUAUCCUAUCUCUUUUUUGGUAAGUCAAUUUUCGGGGACGAAAAUUUUCUUGUUUGGAAGAAUGUAAGGAUUUAGAAAAUAACUUUAGAGUAGAAGUGAUAUAUUUUAAAUGACACCUGAAUAUUUUAUUAUUAAAAUAAAAAGAGUUAUAAAAAGAAAAUUUAGUUAUUGAGGUUUCAUUUUAAAAGAACCACCAUCUCUCUAAAACUUCUCUUUUUCCUUUUCUCUCCCUUCUUUAUAAGAUUUUGAACUUCUCGCUCAUCAAUUUGAUGAUCGAAGUCCGCCAUUAGACUCCUGAUAGUGAAGACUACAAGACUGCGUGAUCAGAAUUUGUGAUAAAGUAAGUUCAUUUUUACUCUUCUCUUUGAGUCAAAUUUUGAACUUGUUAGGUUUGUCUCAAUCUAGGUUUUUCAUGUGACCCUUUUAGCUUUAGGAUUAUCCGGAUGUAGGGAUGGCGUGGUCACCAAUUCCAAAUUUUGUUGGCAGGAUUGAUUGUGUAUUAGUAAUGCAGGGUAUUGUUUGAAAUAAAAUGUGAAUAUGUUGAUUUUGAUAUGGAUGAUUUAUGGUAGAUGUUUUGGUUUGAAUAUGAAAAUUUGGUUGAUUUGUAUAGUUGAUAUAGUGUAAGUUACUCUUGAAGUGAAUAAUGUAGAAACUAGUGGAAGUAAAUAAGAGAAGACAAUAGGUUGUAGCAACUGAAUGAACGUAAUUGCACAAAAUUGUAAUACUGAUCGUAUUCAUUUUGAUUUACUUCAAUAAUAUAUAUAAUAAAAUUACAAUUACUGAAAGCUAUAAAAUAGGAAUACUAACAAGCCUGUAAACUGACCAUCAAUGCAAUAUAACGGUAAAAUAGUUUAAAGAUAAUAAAUAAUAAAAUCAGAAUUAAUAAUAAUAAAAUCUGAAUUAGUAAUCAACAUCCUCCCUUAAUUCUGAUUUGGAACAACCUUCCCAAUUUUAGUCAUGAUAUUGUUUUUCUCAAUCACCAUCAAUUCUUCAUUCAUAGUCUUUUGCCAUUUGGGGUGUUGAAUGGCAUCGACAAGUCUCACAGGUUCUGAUCCUGCAAAAAAAGCAAAGUGAACCAAAUCUCCAUUGUCAUCAACUACAUCAUCAAGAUUUACUUCGCAAUCUUGAAGAUGUACAGGUUGCCGCUGUUGCCUUCUUGGUCGCUCCAUCAUAGUUGCAAUUGGAGUUGCAACUUCAGGUUGAAUUACAACUUCAGGUUGAACUGCAGCUUCAAGUUGAACUGCAGGUGCUUCAAGAGUGACUCCAUCUUCCAUAUCAUCGUUCAAAACAUAAAUAUAUUGUUUUUUCGAAUCUAUUUCAGCUGCUGCAUUCCAUUGCCAUUCCUCAUCUUCGACAAAUGUAACAUCACGACUAAUAAUCACCUUCUUUGUCAUUGGAUUAUACAGUUUGUAUCCUCCAUUUUUAUAACCAAUAAAAAUGGUCUUCACUGCCUUAUCAUCCAACUUCGAUCUUGCUGUUUUAGGGACGUGGGCAUAAGUAAUGGACCCAAAUACUUUCAAGUGUUGCACAUUGGGUUUGAUUCCGCUCCAUGCCUCAAUCGGAGUUGUGUUAGGAACACUCCAAGUGGGUGAUCUGUUUAUCAAAUAUACCGCACAUGUUACGGCCUCAGCCCAAAAAUAAUUUGGCAUACCUUUCGCUUUAAGCAUGCUCCUCGCCAUGUCCAUGAUUGUUCUAUUCUUUCUCUCAGCAACUCCAUUGUGUUGAGGUGUUUAGGGGCAAGUAAUGUUAUGUUGCAACCCAAGUUCUUCACAAUACCUCUUGAAUUCAUUAGACUUGUUCUCACCUCCUCCAUCACUACGCACCAUCUUAAUUUGUCUGCCACUCUCUCUUUCAACAAAUGCUUUAAAUAUUUUAAAGUAGUGGAAUACCUCAUCCUUGCUUUUCAAUACAUAAAUCCAGGUUUUCCUUGAAAAAUCAUUAAUAAAGGUUAAAAAAUACUUAUUACCUCCAACCGAUGAUAUAUUCAUCGGGCCACAAACAUCUGUAUGAACAAGCUCCAAAGGAAAUUUUGCACGCCAAGGCUCCUUAACAAAUGGUAUCCUGUGAUUCUUUCCAAAAAUGCAAGCCUCACACAAUUGAUCAGGGUGAUGAAUAUGAGGUAAACCAUUCACUAAAUUUCUUUUGGAAAGAUUUUCCAAGCACUUGAAAUCACCCAUAUGAAUAUCUACUGGAAACAUACGGUUUUUUGAUAAAAAGGAUUUAAGAAUCAAACUACCUUUUUUUAUCAAAAAUUGAUAAUUUAUUUUCAACUAUGUUCAUCACAUAACCCUUCUCGGCCAGCUGCCCCAUACUCAACAAAUUACUUUUCAUAUCAGGUACAUAGAAAACAUCAUAGAUGUACCUGUGAUCACCAUUCUUCAAUGUGAUAAGAAUUCGCCCUUUUCUAGUCACCGGAACGAACCUACCAUCACCGAAUUUCACUUUUGUGCAAAAUGAGUCAUCCAAAUAUGCAAACAACUCCUUCUUACCACACAUGUGAUUUGUGCAACCUGUAUCCAAAUACCAAGUCUGAUUGUUUGGUGUUUCAUUUGAUGUGGCUGCCAUUAGUACUGCAUGAUCCUCUUCAUCUUGUUCGUGAUUACUGUCUUCUUGAGCACACUUGGCAGCAUGAUUAUCACCUCUUGAUUUGCACUCAUUUGCAUAAUGUCCACGUUUAUGGCAAUUAUAACACUCAACAUUUGAUUUAUUAUAAAUGCCUCCUCGUCCUCCACGACCAUGUUCCCCGUGCCAAGCGCCUCCAUGAUUCUGGCCACCACGACCUUUGCUGAAAUAGCUACCAUGUUUAUGAUAUGAGCUACCAAUUGAGACUUGUGCUUGUAAAGCCUGUUCAAUUGGUUUUUCAAUCUUAUUGUCAUUCAUCCGCUGCUCAUGCGCUCGUAGAGAACCAGACAAUAACCUUACUGUCAUUUUUGAAAUGUCAUUGGCCUCUUUAAUUGCGGUAACAACAUGUUCAAAUAUGGAAGUUAAAGAUCUCAAAAUCUUCUCCACCUUUGCCUGCUCCGAAUGUGUUUCACCAUUGACCUUCAUCUGAUUUGUCAAGGCAAUAACUUUAUUUAUAUAAACAUCAAUAGUCUCUGUGGUUUCCAUCUGCAGCAAUUCAUAUUGGCGUCUUAGGGUUUGAAGACGCACCCUCUUAAUCUUGUCAUCACCUUUAUAAUUGUUUGACAAAAUGAUCCAAGCCUCAUUGGCAGUUGUUUCUCCUUUUAUCUGCUCAAACGUCUCGUCAUUCAUCCCUUGAUGGAUGAGAUACAAAGCCUUAUUGUCCUUCUUCUUCUGAUCACGAUGCGCUACUCAUUGCGCCUCAGUUGCAUUAUCACCUAAUGUAGACACUCCACUCUCAACGACAUCCCAUAACUCAUGAUAAUCAAACAAAACUCUCAUUUGCACACACCACCGAUUGUAAUUUUUUCCAUUAAGGAUAGGGACUGAUAAUUGGGUAGAGUUCAUAAUAACAGACUAGCUCUUGAUACCAGUUGCAGAAACUAAUGGAAGUAAAUAAGAGAAGACAAAAGGUUGUAGCAACUGAUUGAACGUAAUUGCACAAAAUUGUAAUACUGAUCUUAUUCAUUUUGAUUUACUUCAAUAAUAUAUAUAAUAAAAUUAAAAUUACUGAAAGCUAUAAAAUAGGAAUACUAACAAGCCUGUAAAUUGACCAUUAAUGCAAUAUAAUGGUAAAAUAGUUUAAAGGUAAUAAAUAAUAAAAUCAGAAUUAAUAAUAAUAAAAUCUGAAUUAAUAAUCAACAAAUAAGUUAUUGAAAUUGUUUUUGUUUCACUCUAAAUGAUGAAAUUAGGGAAAAUUACGCAGAUUUUUCUGUAUAUCUCGUUUAGGCGAGAUAAUUCUCGCUUGAGCGAUAGUAUAAUGAAAAGAUGGGGUGUUAUCGGGUCCGUUUUCGCCCAAGCGAGAGGGAAUCUCACUCAGACAAGGCCUAAGAUGAAAUUUUGGAUGCUCUCAGGUUCAAUCUUGCUAAAGCAAGAGAAUUUUCACUUGGCAAACGAACAAAUUUUCCCUCAAGCUAGUAAAACAAUUAAAAGUUUUAUUUUUUAUUUUGAAAGCCUAGUUUUAUAUUGCUUAUUAUUUUUAAGAGAAAAUUCUAAAUUUUAUUUUAAAAAAUGAUUAAAGGAACUUAUUUAUGUGUUUAAGUGAAUUUUGAUAUAUAUUUGGAUUGCUUAGAAAGUUUAAAAUAUAAUGUGAUUGAAUGGUGUAUUGAUAUGUUAAAUGAAGUAUGCAAUGAGGUGAAAGUGUGAUCAAGACAUAGUAUUUUCAAGAAAGGAAAUACCGUGUUGAGAUUGUUCUUAGGAUAUAUUGAUUUGUGAGUAUCCUGUGAAUGAGACAAUCUUGACUCUACUGAUAUAAUGGAAUCUUAUAAAUGAAGUUAUUCGGUUGGUGAGAGUCGAAGGAGUUUCAUUUGACUGAGUCUGAGGUUGGAAAGAACUGAUCAUAGCAUAUCAUAUGGGUUUAUCUUAGCAUAUGAGAUGAUGAGAUACUGAGAUGAUUGCGUGCAUGACUUUGUGGAUUUCACAACGAGUAGUAUGACAAGUGCAAGUCUUUGGAUGGUAAUUUCAAUAUACGAGUCUUCCGAAAGUAGAGUCAAAUGUCUGAGUAUGUGAGUCAGUAGAAAUCUGACUUGAGUAAUGUGGAUGAUGAAUGUUGAUAGACAAUUGAUGAUUUUAUGCAAAUAACGAGAAUUUGACGGAUUAUGCUUAUUAUUAAAAGUUAAACUUAUAUUAGAAUUCUUAAAAAUAACUAGCUUACAUUGUUCUUUGUUUUAUUUAACUUGUAAUGAUCGUGUUGAUUUACAUAGGGGCAAAUGAGCUUGCAGGUGAGUAUGUGAGUCAGUAGAAAUCUGACUUGAGUAAUGUGGAUGAUGAAUGUUGAUAGACAAUUGAUGAUUUUGUGCAAAUAAUGAGAAUUUGACGGAUUAUGAUUAUUAUUAAAAGUUAAACUUAUCGUGUUGAUUUACACAGGAGCAGAUGAUGUUGCAGGUGAUAGAGCUCUUCAAUGAGUAGUCGGAGGAAGAAAUAUUUUUAUUUUGAAUUUUUUGUUUUUAAAUUUUUUUGUAUAUAUUAAAAUCUCUAUGAAGAGAGAUAUAUUUUGAGAUAAAGUAUGAAAUAACUGUAAAUGUUUAUAUGUUAAUUAGAUAUUGUAUGUAUUUGCAUUUUAUUAAAUAUGGAUAAAAAUAUGGAUAUUACAAUUGUUACUUAUGAAUAUUAGUUAUCAUCAUUAUUUAUAAUUAUUCAUAUUAUAAUAAUACUAUUAAUAUAAUUCAUAUUAUUAAUACUAUUAAUAUAAUUCAUAUUAUUAAUACUAGCGGGAACACAGGCACGUCAACACAGGCACUGACGUGCCUGUGUAUCCGCAUUUUUUAUUUCUGUUUCUUUAGUAUUUUUUUUUUGUUUUUAAAAAAUAAUUUCUCUUAAUAAUAUUAAAAUGAGAAGUUAAAGAGUAUACAGUUAAAGAGUGUGUAUCCGCAUUUUUUAUUUCUCUUUCUUUAGUAUUUUUUUAUUCUUCAAAAACAAUUUCUCUUAAUAACAUUAAAAUGAGAAGUUAAAGAGUAUGUUAAUAAAAUAGUGGAGAGGUAAUUAAAAGUUACAUAUGGUAAAGAGAAUGAAUGAAUUUUCAAAAUUUAAAAUUCAAAAUUACUAUUUGAAUUCAAAAUUGUCUCUCAAGAUAGAAAAUAAUUAAAUAGAAUUUGAGUUUCAUAUUUUUUUAUAAUUUUUAAUAUUUUAUUAAUUAUGGGUAAAAAUAUAUGUAUUUGGUAAUAGUUAAAAUUUAUUUAAAACUACAAACUCAACCGAAAAAAUAAUUAAAUAGAAUUUGAGUUUCAUUUUUUUUUAAUAAUUUUUAAGUCUUAUGAUGACUUUCAUCAUGUACCCUUGUCUCCUCUUGUUGAGUCCUUCUUAUCCCUCUAGUCACAUGUUUCAAAUUAGUGUUUUACAAAUUGAAAUGCAUAUAAAGAGAAUUAUGUUGUGAUGAAGCGCACAACUUUUUUUGAGUCGUUUCGUUCCCUCUAGUCACAAACUUCAAUUACAAUUUCAUGAAACAAAUGUCAAAUUAGGGUUUCAGAAAGAUUAAUCAAAUAAAUGAAAGUAUGAUUUUACAUGAAAGUAAAAAGGAAAGAGAAAAGAAAGUGAGAAGUAUGGUAUAAAAAAAUGUGUUAUGUGUAGUGGAGAGAGAAAGUGGGAAGUAUCUACCUAUAUAUGAGAGAGAAAGUGGGAAGUAGGUACCUAUAUAUGAGAGAGAAAGUGGGAAGUAUGAUACGUGAGUUAUGUGUAGUGGAAAAUCAUAAAAUUUGUUUUCUUAAAUCAAUUUUAAAAUUCUACAAUUUUAAUAAAAAAGAAUAUCAGUUUAGAUCAGAAAAAGUAACGAUCUCCACUCUCCUGCUAAAGUAAUCCACAAAAUAUUAUAAAUAUCUUUAAUUUUUUUAUUUAAUAGAGAAGAAGAUUAUUUAAAAUAAACAAUUUAAACUAUCUAAUUCAAAAUUAAAUAAGUUUUAAAACUUUCAAUUUAGAUAUAUAAAUAUAUACAAUUUUAUGUAAGUACUUUGAUGUUGAAUUUAAUAACCGCUUUAUGACUAUUUUUUAAUAUGACCUGUAUGUUUUAGAUAUUUUAAAUAAUUUCUUAAAUUUUCAAAAUAAAAAAGAAAACGUCUACAUGCAUUUGAGAUCUCAACUUCGAUCGAAUUAAAAUUUUAAAUAUAAAUUAAUAAGUUGAUAAGCAAAAACAAAUUAUGGAAAAUAUAAAAUAAUUUUUAAUUCUGUAAUAGUAAAUAAAAAUCCAAUGAAGUUCAAAGUAAAGUAUGACAAAAAUAUAUAUACAAAAUUAUCUCUAACUUUUCCACCAUUAAAAAAAUACAUUAUUUAUGUAUAUAUGAGAGUUAUUUCUCAUACACUAAUUACAAAUAACAUUUACAUCCAUAACUAUUCAUUUAUGCUUUAAAAUAUAUCUAUCCAUCAAACAAUUAGUCUUCCAAACAACUACUCACAUAUUCUAUAGUUUAUAUUUCAAUUCUGUUUAAAAUCAUUGAUUCUUAUUUUAAUUUAUCUCAUUUUUAAUGAUAUUUUUUUUCAUCUAACAGAAUUUAUUAAAACCUUUAAAAAAAAUCUUAAAUCAUUAAUCAAUUUCUUCGAUAAAUAUUAAUCUUUAUUUUAAUAUUUUUUUUUCAAUUAUUGUAUUUUUAAAAAAAUUACUCAUUUUUAAAUAAAAUGUAUUUUUAAUUUGUUUUAGAUAAUUAAAAAUAAUCAUAUUUAAAAUAUAGUACCUCCAAUAUUUCCAAUUGUAAUGACGUUUAAUUUCUAUACUUAAUUUUUGUUUAUAGUGAAAGUGAAUUAUUAUAACUAUCAUUUAUCUCCACUAUAUUUGUGAAAAUAGAUGAUUUAUUGGACCAAUAAUACAAUAUAUUAUAAUUAUUAAACACAAUUGUUUUUAUUAUUUCACAUAUAUUUUGUAUAUUUUAUAUUUUUACUAUAAUUUUAUUUUACUUAUAUAAGUUAGAUAUUAUUAAAAAUUUAUUAAUAUUACUAAUGUUGUCAUAAUAUUUGUAAAAGCUUAAUUUUUAUUGAAUUAUGAUAACUUUUCAAUUGUGAAAAUUAAGAUUUAUCUUAAACUGUUGUCUAAACUGAUUAAAUGCAACAGGUGCGCAUUAUAAUAUAUUCUAUAUAAUUUAAUAAAUAAGUAUAUAAAGUAUAAAAUAUUCUUAUAUUUAAAUGUUGUUUAUAUAAACUGAAGUACUUAUAAUUUAAUGGAAUGUGGGAAAUUUUAUUUGUGGGUUAAUUAGUCUUAGUUGCCAAACAAAGCAUAGUCCAGUCCAUUGUUGAUGUGUUCCUUUAAAACAUCCGGUAUUUCUUCCGACACCCCUCAUUCUUCUUCCUGCACCUCAUUACUUUUUGAAAUCCUGAAUUACCCGUUUUAUUUUAUUUCAAAACGCAUUUUCCAUGGUAGCGAGGGUGUUUUCAGAAAUUGGAUUUUGAGAAUGAAUUUCAAAAUUGAAAAUCCAUAAGUAAAAAAACACAUUCCAAAAAUAAGUGCUCCAAGAUGGAAAAUUGUUUCCCAAAUGGAAUUUUCAAAAGAAAAAAAUUUAUAAAUAUAUGAUUUUUUUUUAUAUCAUUCUAAAGUGUUGUACAUGAUUAUCUUAAGGUGCAUGCAUUUGCACUUGCACUUCUCCUCCUACUCAACCUGUUAUAUCCAGAAUAAGCACCAAAAUAAUAAGAUCUCAUAUAUGAGUAAUAAAUUUGUCAAUGUAAUAUAAUCAUAAUGUUUUGAUAAAUCUCUAAUUUAUACUAGAAAAUAUCUUGCGAAAUUUGAGAAAGUAUGAGAACUAAAACUUCAAAAUACCUAAAAUAAGCUUAAAUAAUACUAAAAAAAAUGAUAUUAAAUGGUGGAUUUUUGGAAUUUUGGUAGUGUGAUUGUGGGGAGUUUUAAACUCUUCGUCUCCCUUGUCCUCAACUCACCAUUGUUUAUUCCUAUUAUAUCAUUUGCAACUAACAACGUUUUGUUCAUCCAAUUUACAUUCUCCAAAGUAUUUAUAAGGCUUAUAAUGUCCAACUUCAUCAAGUGCAUAAUGAAAAUUACUAGUAUGCUUACAUUGAGUUAUUUUUUAAGAGAAACUAUGUGUUUUUGGGAUUUGUGUGCUCCUUGGUUAGAACCUCUAAGGGGUCCUAAUGGUUUAGAAUGAAUUUUAUUGAAGAUCUUCAUAUCAGACAUAGAAUCUGAAAGACCAACAUCUAGAUGCAUUCAUAACAUAAUGGAUGAGUCGGAUCAGAACAAACAAAAAAAAAUGCUUUUAGUGUAGAAAUGAAGGGCACAAUAGCAACAAUUGUAUGUAUAAAGAAUAACAUGUUGUCAUUUGUAAACAAUCUUUUGUAUUAUGAUAAAUAACUUUCGAUUUCUUGUAUUCUUUAGCAUACUUACAUGUCAUUGAACUCAUUCAUGUCAUUAUCAAAGUAGUUAAUAUCGUAAUCUCUAAAUAAUUAUAAUUAACGCAUUAUUACGCAUCUAAAAUUUUCAAUUCUUUUUACUUAUACAUAUAAUUAUUGUGCACUAUACUAUGUGAAUUACAAACCCUAAACCCUUAACAUCAACUCUAACCCUAAACAUUACAUAUUUACCGUAUAGCAUAACACUAACUGUGGCCCUAAAACUGAAUCCCUCACAUCUAAACCCCAACCACCACAGUACUAUUAACAUUGCCCGUUAAACCCUUAGAUUUUUUUUGUUAACACUCCUCAUUAAACCCUACCACCUCAGUUUUCAGGUUUUAUUCUUUUUUUCACUUACCAAACUGAAGUCGUACAUGACUGACACAAUUUUAGUGUAAAAAUAAUACAAUUAAAGUCGUGUAAUGCACAACUUCAAUUGUAUUAUUUUUACACUAAAAUUAUGUCAUGUUGACGCAAAUUUACUUAAGCUUUAAUUUAAAAUUAAUCAUAAUCGUCCAAGUCACUCACAACUUAUGUAUUAUAUGGUUUCAACUAAAGUUGUUCAUAAAUAACACGAUUUCUAUAUUAAAUAAAGUUGUGUAUUUCUGACAUAAUUUUUUUUUUAUAAUAAAAUUGUGUUAAUGAGAUAUAUUUUAUCCAAACACGUGAUAUUUUAUUUUGCCUAUAUGUCAAUAAUAAACGAAGUGAAUUACAUUAAUCUCCAAAAAAACGUAAUAGUCAAGUAUAUUUGCUUAGAAUAGUUAUUUGGUUGAACCUUUUACUUACUAAUUUUAGAUACAUUAUCCUUUAUCCAAAAGAAAUGGUACGUGCUUUUAAUUGAAAGAAAAUUCCAAGUGUUGAAUUUUCUUCACUUUUAACUCACAUGUUUCUCUCCGUUGUCAUCUUGUCCAUGUUGUUUUUAACAAAUACAAGUGUCAAUUAAAUAUUUUAAAUGUUGGUGUUGCCCUCCGUAAUUCUCUUUCAUAGCUCCACGACAACAUAUCUUUCGAUCCUUACAAUUAUUCGUUACACAUUUCAAUAGAUGAACCAUGUUUUUUAUAUCUGUAACUGAUUUUUUUUAUAUGUUUUAUUUCCAAGAAAAUUAUAUUCCUGGGUAUAUGUUUUUAUUCCUGUACCAAGAAGGUAUUAGAAUCAAAUUUUUCGAUUUUUGAUAAACCCAAUUGAUCAUUAACACAUUAAUUUUAUUUCGUAUUUAUUUGUACUCAAAUAACUUUAUCAUUCGAAUGAUUUUUGGAAUUUUGGGACUCCGUUUCGUCUGUCUCAUAUGUCUAGACAAGAAUUAGUUGAAAAAUGGAAAUACAAUUUUCUGUGAAAAAAUAUAUUUAUUCUUUUUCUAGCUAUAUUCAUACAUUUUUAUUUAUACUACUGACAUAAAAUUACUGAAAAGUUUGUUUUCGUGAGCGUCUCUAAUUUUUAAGCCUAAUAAGGUCAUAACCGUCCAUGUUCAUUACUUCAUCAAAAACAAUUUUCUAAACCUUCUCUUUGACCUGAUUUUGACUUGCACAUCUGAGAAGUUAAGGUUUUCUUAGGGAUAAAGUCUUGAAAACAAAAAGUUAAACAUAUUUUUUUUUUUUGUAUAAUCAGGGAAAUUGAGGGAGUGAUAGAAAAAAUAGUUAAAAAGAAAAAGAAAAAGAAAAAUGAUUUAGCUAAAAAUGUUUAUUGUUAAUAUUUAAAGAAUUAAGUUAAUUACUCAUGUUAUAAAUAAAUUAAUUUAAACAAUUAUGUAUGAAUAUCCCGUAAGAUUCUUGGUUAUUUUUUCUUCAGAUGUGGGAUUGUCUCCCCCAAGAUUUCUUCUUCCACAGUCAAAUAUUGCUCUUUUGUGGAAUUUGGAAGAAACCAAACUGCAGGCAUUCUCACAGGAGUUUUUUUGUUUUCAGUGAAAAGGCAACUGAAACAUCUUGCAUUGAAUGACCAAAAUUUUGCUUGACCUCUUCUUGCGUGUUUGAAUCUGUCCCACAAUCCUGAAACCACACGAAGCGUGUUUCCUUUAUCUGUUUCCAUUAUCAGCAAAUGGCGGCGGCACAAGAAGGACCCACAAUGAAAGCCUCCUGAGUUUGAAGGCGCCACCAUGCAGAUCACUAUAUUCUCCAACCAUUUGCUUUUUAUCAUUACUUCACUGUCGAAUAACAGAGCUUGAAACAACGUUCGGAAGAAUCAAGAUUCUAUUUCCAUUUCAUUGUCAUUAUAGUUUCCUAGUAAAUCUUAAAUCAAUAAUUUAAUCGCGAUUGAACACAUAAUUGCGCGUAACUUGGAUUUGUAAUCGCAUCUCUGGGUUUUCCACUAGGACACUUAGAACUUGUGGCUCCGUUUUCUCUGACUUUGUGUUAAGUAUGAUUCGAAUGCUGAAAAUGACUGUCAAAUUUAUGUUUUUCUUCUAUUUUAGGGAGUUUAUAUCAUCCGCGGAAUGUAAAUAGGAAUUGUCUUUUGAAAUUAACCUUUUUAUACUUAAAAAAAGGAAAAGUAAAACUUUUGUCAGUGUAUAAAAUGUGUGAGAAAAGUACUCCUCUCAAAUGUUAAAAAGUCUUUGGUUUAAAGUCAAGUCACAUGAUUAUGCAAUCAUUUUGACUAGUGAUUAUUUGCAAUAUAUUACAUAGUUCUAUUAGAGGUAAUUAAUGUUUGUUUAUAUUGAAUAUGGACAUAGCAAAACACACUAAAAUAAAAGCUUAAUAUAUAAUUUUAACUAAAAUACCAAUAUUAUUUUGAAACAGAAUAAUAAAUUACAAAUAAGACAUAUAACAUGAUAACGCAAUAAUCAUUGUUUUAAAUUGUUAAUUCACUCAUUAUUGAAAUAUGGAAACUAAUUAGAAAUUUCUUUAGUAUUUAUAAUAUCAAUUAUCUUUUUUAAAUAUAAUGAAGUGUUGAUUUUAAAUUCAUUACUUCCGCAUAUACGUUUUGAAUGGGAAAAAUUAAAUGGAAUACACAUCGCGCGCGGUGGUGCGGUGAUUGCAGGUUGCGAUUCGUACGGUGGUUGCAGAUUGCAGGUCGACGGUGGUCUUGGUGGUGCCGGGGUGAUGUGGAAUUAGGGUUGUGAUUUACGUUAUUAGAGUUCUAUUUUUUUUUUAUUGGGCUUCGGAAUACUGGGCUUCAAAUUGGAAUUUUUUUUAUUUAAUUGAGGUGCAGUUUUUCUUUUGGGAUGCUUUUUUUUUUUAAUUAGGAAAAAUUGGUGUAAAUUUUAUUUUGUUUUGUCAAAAAUUGAAUUUGGAGCAAUAUAUAUUUUAAAGAAUGUUUGGGAGUAGAUAAAAUUCAACUGAGAUUAAUAUAAGUGCAUCAUCUAUUUUAGUAGAAGUAAUUUUUUUUCAAAAAUUAAAUCAGAUAUUGAAUAAAAGUAUAGAAUAAAUAUUAAUGUACAGGAAAGGACAUAAUUAGAGAAAUGGACAUAUAAAUUUUUAUAAUAUUUUUUAAAAAAUUUAAAAUAAUAAAAUAUAUCAUUAUACUAUUAUAAUAGGUUCUCAAAUGAAAUGUUUCUUUUUCGUUUCAAAGUAUCAUUUUUGGUUUUCAAACUUCCAUAAAACUUCCUCCCUUCCUUCUAUUUGAAACUUCAAAUAAAUAAGUCAAGUUGGAUUAAUGGUAACUGAUGUGACAUUUUUCUGAGGGUUGAGUCUAUCUACGUCAUGAUCAUCAAAAAAAGAAGUAAGAAAAGAGUUUAUCAUUAAUUAAUAAUAAUACUUACAAAAUACAAUUAUUUUUAUAGUUGAUCUUGGACGUUGAAUACGUGUCGCAGAAUAUAAAGUAAAUAAAUAGUAGAUGAUAAGAAUAUAAAACUAAAAGCAAAUAAUUGUUAUUUUAAAAUUUAAAAAUAUAUUAAUAAUAAAUAAGUAUCUAAUUUAAUUAACAUAAUAAUUCUUUUUUAAAAUUAAUUUUUAUUUAAUAAUUUUUUAAAGUAGAUUGUCUUAAACAUAUUUAUUAAUGUAUAUAUAUUAUUUAAAAUAAAAGCUUUUAUAAUUUUUAUCUGGAAUAUAAAGAAAAACACGUGAGUACAUGCAGUAUUAUAUACAACUUUUAAAGGAAAUAGAGCUUGGGAGGCAUCGUAAGCCACCGUCAUCUUCGCCGUGCACUUAUAAUUCCAUUUAUGACGGCCAUACAUAACUAUAAUAAUGCUUUAUACUAAUCUUCAUUCUUCAUUUGGCUAUUAUAUAUAAUAUUAACUACUGUUUCUAUCCCGUCAUCUAAAUAUUUCACUUUAUAUCAUCAUAUUAAUAACAAAAAAGGAUAAUGAUAAAAUUUAAAAUAUUGAUUUUUAAAAUAAUUAAUUUAAAACGUAAGGAUGAUAAAAAAAUGUGUUAAAAAAAAUUACAUAUUAAUAAAAUGAAAAUAAUGUUAAAUAGAAUUUGAUGACAUUCAACUGUUCACUAAUAGAAUUUGAAUUCAUAACUUCUUCCAAUGGUUUUAGACGGCUACUCUUUUGUUAUUCAUAUAUAUAUAUAUAUAUAUAUAUAUAUAUACUAACNNNNNNNNNNNNNNNNNNNNNNNNNNNNNNNNNNNNNNNNNNNNNNNNNNNNNNNNNNNNNNNNNNNNNNNNNNNNNNNNNNNNNNNNNNNNNNNNNNNNAAAAUAGUAUCUAAUUUAGUCAAUAUAGUAACUAAUUAUUUUUUAUCUUUAAAAUUAGUUUAUAUUUAAUAAUUUUUUUUAGUAGUGAUAUAUAUAUCAUAUAUGAUUUGUUAGUUUCUAUUUAAUAAUUUUUUAAUAAUAAUAUAUAUAUUAUAUAUGAUUUAUUGUUUUAAGAGUUUAAAUUAAUUUUACAAUGUGUAGUUAGAAUAAAUAAGCUUUACCAACAAAUACAAGAUUAUUUCAUUCAAAUCUUACUCAUUUAAUUUCACAGGCUUAAAUCUCCAACUACAUAUAAUUUAAACUCAUAUAAUUCAAAUAAUGCUCCGUAUUUUUUUAAUAAUAAAAUAAAUAAGAUAAGAUUGGAAAUACCUUAUUGAGAUAAAAAUAAUUAUAAAAUAAAUUAAAAUAAUAAGGAUAAAGACAUCUUACUGACAAAGAUAAUUAGAUAAUUAUAAAUAUAUAUAUAUAUAUAUAUAUAUGAAAUGAUAAUCAAUUUCUUCUCAUACAUAAAUAUUUGAAGAUUAAGUCUAAUCUCUUGUAACUCGAAUGAUUUUUAGGAUUUGUCCUUAACCCACUUUUCUCUUUAUUUCUUUAUAUUGAGAGACUCGACAUCCCACAUCCUUUUUUAUAGCAAGGUUUAUCAUGAUUUUUCAAUUUAAACUUUGAUUUUGUUAUUUGAUUUCAAACGAAAUGAAAGUUUUGAUGGAUAGUUUGUAAGAUAUAUGUACAUGUGAUGAAAGGAUAAGUUCUCUAGAUAAUUUGUAAAAACAUAAUCAUGUAAUGUGAGAAGAAGAAAGAUAUAAUCAAGCUUAUCCUUAUCCUUUGCAUUAAAUUUUUCAUGCUAAAGGUAAACAUAUUUUUUUUUCUUUGUCCUUAUGUGAUUGAAUGGAUUUUGUGUGAGAAAAAGAUUGAGUCUGAGUUUAUGGUUGACAACCUUGCUAAAUAAUUUGUUGAGAUCAUAUAUGAUCUUAUACCAAUUUAAUUGGUCUAGACCCUUACAUAGUUUCCUUUAGACCUUUAUAUGAUCUAAUGAUAUAUAAACAUAUUUUUAUUCAUCUUAUCAUUUUAACACAGGGUUUAUGACAACUUUAGUUCAUUAGACACACGUUAAGAAAUUAUCCAAUUUAUCAAACGAAGCCUUGAGUAAAUUUGUUAGAAGAAGUCUUGACUUCAUCCGUUAUCAAAAGUUUGUUAAAAAAAGCAUGUCAGAUGUAGUCUUGUUUGCCCUUUAAGGUUCAUGAGAUAAGCAUGUUAGACAAAGUCUUGGGCUCAUUUGUCCACCAAAAUUCGUGAGAGAACCGCAUUAGACAAAGUCUCAAAUUUAUCUAUCCUUUAGAGUUCGUGAGACAAGCUUCAAAUAAAUCCUUGUUUUCAGUUAUCCUUUAAAGUUCCUCGGAACAAGCGUUAGAUGAAACUUUUAUUUCAUUUGUCUUUUAAAAUUCGUUGAGCGGAGUUUUGGUUCGUUUAUCCUUCAAGUUUCAUCAAACAAAUGUCAAACAAAAUUUUGAUUCAUUUGUCCUUUAAGUUUCACAAGAUGAAGCAUGUAAGACAAAAUCUUUAAUUUGUCUACUCUUUAGAGUUCAUCUUACAUGUGUUAUUGGUGUUGCUUAAAAUCAAAACUUAAAAUAUUUAAGUCAUGUUUAUAUUAAUGUGAUUUAAUAUAUAUAUAUAUAUAUAUAUAUAUAUAAUAUUAUUUUAUAAGUUUGGAUGUUACAAUAUGGCUUUCUUACCAUGUAUGUACCAACAUACACUACAAGAAAAAUCCAUUUUAGCUGUCAACAAAAAACGGGGGCUAUAAAAUAGAAGUCACUAGCAUGGGUGAAGUCUACUCAAGUUAGACAAAAAUAAAUAAAUAUCAAAUAUCCACUACAAGAAAAUCAUGAAAUAGAAACCAAUUUUUAGAGACCAAAAUAAUUAGUUACAAUAGGAACUAAAAUAGAGACCAUUUUAGAAACUAAAAAAAAAUUGGUUUCUAAAUUAGUUUCUAUUAUUUUCUAUUAUUGUUAAAUAGUUUCUAAAUUGGUAUCUAAUUAGCAACUAAGGUUUUAACUACCAAUUAUUUAGUUUCUAAAUUUGGUAGCAAAAACCUUGGUUGCUAAUUAGAUACCAAUUUAAAAACUAUUUAACAAUAAUAGAAACUAAUUUAGAAACCAAAUUUCUUUUUAGUUUAUAAAAUGGUCUCUAAUUUAGUUACUAUUGCAACUAAUUAUUUUGGUUUCUACAAAUUGGUUUCUAUUUCAUGAUUUUCUUGUAGUGAUCGUGUCCACAAUGGAAAUCUUUAACACACUAAAAAUUAUUAAAAUAGUAAUAAUAAGUUAGCGUCUAAAAUGGGGACACAAAGUAGAUGCAAUAAAAAAAAUUAAAUGACAGAAUAAUAUUGAGUUUAGAAUGGAGACACAAAGUGUAUGUAAGUUAAAAAUUAUUAAAAUAAUAAUAAUAAGUUAGCGUCUAGAAUUGGGAUACAAAGUAGAUGUAAUAAAAAAAUAAGUUGCAAAAUGAUAGAAUGGAGAUACAAAGUGGAUGCAAGUUAUUAUUUAAUAUUUUAUUACAUUUAAUAUAGGUCUAGGCGACACUGAAGUGGCGUGGAGGUUUAUUCACGCUAAGUUAUUUAAUGAGAAAAAAAAUAUUAAAACAUUUUUGUCUCACAUUUUCAUUUUCCCACACUUUCAAUUUCUGAUUUUUGUCUCACUCUUUCAAACUCAUUAUCCUGAAAUUCCUCCCAAAAAUCCUACGUCUUCUUCGUGGUUAUUUCGCUAUCCUUAAGUGCAUUUUACUCAUUUAUUUCCCAGGUAGUGUCCCCAAUGGCUAGGGAUGGCAAUGCGAGCUAGUCGCCCCACACUUAGCCCGCCCCGCAUAGAAUAUGCGGGUUGAUUUCUCUAGCCCGCCUCGCAUAAGGAUUGGCCCGUAGGCCAACCCGCAUAAGAAUUAUUUUUUUUAAAUUAAUAAAAAUUAUUUUUUAAAUAGAAAUUUUGAAUAAAUUUAAUUUUUUAUUUAUUUAGAUGCAUUAGGUAAAUGGUAUCAAAUAUUAUUCUCACAGGACAUGCGUAAUAAGAUGUUAUUAAAAAAUUUGGAAUGUGAAAUAUGAGACUAUAUUAAGAAAAUAUGGGGGUGUAGAAAAAAAUUUCUACAUUUUUAAGUUAUGCAGGUCAUGUGGGCCAGCUCGUUCUGCCCUCACUUAGCCCGUGCGAGUUGUGGGUCAUGUGUGGCAGGCCUGAGCAGAUCAGUGGGUUGGAAUAGGCAACCCGACCCAUGUUUUCUCUAAGCGGGUUGUGGGUCGGCCCGCAUAGCCCGUCCCACUUUGUCAUCCCUACCAAUGACGACAAUUUACUCACAUUUGCUUUCCCACGUAGUGUCCCCAAUGGCGACGCUAACUUUAAUUAUUAUUGGAGAUCUCACAUCGACUAGAGAUUAUGACAUUUCAUAGUAUAUAAGUGGGUGUAAACCUCACCUUAUGAGCUAGUUUUAUGAGGUUGAGUUAGGCUUAAAGUCCACUUCUUAAAAUGAUAUCAUAGUCAUUUCGAGUCUAUCCUAAAGAUUGUUUUUUGGGCUUAUCAGGUCACCCGCUAUCGGUCGAUUAUCGGACCACCCAUAAUAUAUAGUCUCACGCACGAGUUGGUAGGCUCGACGUGAGGGGGUGUAUUGGAGAUCUCACAUCGACUAGAGAUUAAGACAUUUCAGAGGGAAUAAGUGAAUGAAAACCUCACCUUAUAAGUCAAUUUUAUGAGGUUUAGUUAGGCUUAAAGUCCAUUUUCUAAUAAUUAUUUAAUUUUAUAUCCAUUUUAGUGUCCUUCAAACCUACGUUAUAGUUAAAUAAUAUAUUUUUCUUUAUGUAGGCUUAGUCAACACUAUCUUGUAAAUUUGUUUCUUAUUGGAGGCCUUCUCUAAUGCAUAGCCACCGUAAGAUUAACUUUCAUUUCUAUUGGGACGUUAAGUCCACACUAGUUCCAUGUAUAGUCUCUCUUUUACUCUUUUCGUCGAUCUUUUGGAUACUCAACCAUCAUUAUUUCUUGUAGUGGUAUUUAAGUUAUCAUCCUUUUUAAUGAAUCUAAAACUACACCUAAACAAUUUACUUUUUUCGAAUUAAAUUAUGAUUGCUAUUCCAUCACAGUAGAUAUAAAAAAAAUUAAUCUCUAAAAUAUUAUUUAAUUUAGUUAAUAUAAUAAUUAAUUUUUUCUCUAAAAUUAGUUUAUUUAAUAAUUUUUUAGUAGUGUAUAUUGUGUGUUGUGGUUAAUUAUUAAUUGUUAAAAUUGUGUUCAAAUUUCCAUGUCCUAAAAUGAAGGAGACACUAUCUAUUUUUAAAAACAAAUUAAAAAUCUUCAAUAUUUUAGAAAAUAAAUAUUUUAGUUCAUAUGAGUAAAUCUUUUAAACUGUUUAAAAAUAAAUAAUACUUAAGUUUAGACUAAAUUAUAGAAACUAAAUUUUGAGGAAUAAUGUUGCAUAUAAUUAACAUACUAAAUCUCAAUACAAAGUAACUCUUAAGUUAUCUUAAUCUCUAACACUAAAUUAUUUUUGUCCCAUCACUUAAUUAUAAGAUAAUUAAUUAAGUGAUAUUAAUAAUUUAGGGAAUAUAAUUAAGUGAUAUUAAUAAUUUAGUGAUGUUGAAAUUUUAAACCCUAAACCUUAAAAUAAAUAAGAUAAGAUAAUAAUUGAUUUUUUUUCAUUACUUCAAUUUAUUCAACUUAAUUAGAUUUUAAAGUAAAUUUUAAAAACUGAGAAAAAGAAAAUUACUGAUUUUAUAAUAUUAAAGGUCCUUAGAACUAGUUAUCUCAAUCCAUCCUAUCAUCAUUAUGAAGAUGAUUCUUUAACUUAGUGUUUGAACAUAUUGUCAUUAUUGAGGCGAAAAGUUUUGUAAAUAUAGUAGGACAAUAAAAAAAAAUUCUUUUUUUUCUCUAAAUUUAAUUAAUAUUUAAUAACAUAGUAAUUAAUUAUUAUUUUUUCUCUAGACUUAGUUGUUAUUUAUGUAUAUAUAAUCGCGAGGUUGCGUUAGGUUGAGUUAAUAUUGUUGGUAACAUAAUAUCAAAGAGGCACGUAUGAACAGAGUGUGAAGAAAAAAUGAUAAUCAGAAGAAGGAAAUUGCAUGCUAAUUUAAUUUUCUUGUAGUGACAGGUCAAGCAAGAAGUUUAGAUUUAGAUUAGAAGAGUGUGUUAUGGCUUGCACGGGCUGAUUCAGGAGUGUGGAUCACUCACUUUUCUAAUGCUAACAGACAGAUUCAUAUGUUUUACGGUUUAAGUCAAAUUUUGCAUACAUAUUUUUAUAAAUUAGAAUGCCUGGUUUUUUCUGCGGGAGACUAUUAUUUUAUCUGCUCUUUUUCGAACUUUGGGCAGGUAGGUACACCACUCUAUAAUCGGUAGGUACACCACUCUAUAAAGCUUCAAUUCAAUUCUCCCCUCCAACUCACACUUCAAUAUGGGAGCGCAAACACACAUAACCCAUAAACCUUACGCCGGCUACGCUGCCUUCAUAGCCGUCUGUGUUAACUUACUUGCCGUGAAGCCCUACCCCAUCACUGACCUUCAGAUCGUCUUCUUUCUCACAUCCAUGUUCUUCCACGCUCUUGCUCUUUCCCUACCUCAACCCUCAAUCACAGCUAUAAUUACUCUCCACGCUUCUGGUAUUCUUGCUUCUGAAACCCUCAUCUGCGUUAUCCUACCUCCUAGCUCCUGGCUUUCCUCCUAUUAUAUCAUAAAUGCCUUUUUCUUCCUCUUUGCAUGCUUCUUCUUCAAGGAUCAUAUCAUUCGUUUUCUCCGAAAAGAUCAACAAGACACAAAUCACAUCAAAGACUUGGAAGCCCAGGACCAAGAACUUGAAGAAAUACAGUGAGAAUGUGAAACUCUUUCUAUACCAACAAGACACCACUCCACAGCCUCAUCACACCACAGACUUGGAAGCCCAAGACCAAGAACUUGAAGAAAUACAGUGAGAAUGUGAAACUGUUUGCAUACCAGUUUUCUUAUGUCAUUAAGUUGUUGUUCACUAGCUCAUCUCAACCGACUGCAAAAUUAAUCAUUAAUAUAUAUACCCUCUUCCUUGUAAAAUUUGCUUUGUUUUAUUUAGCAUACAAUUCUUUUUUAUAUUAUGUCAUGCAGUUCUUGGUUUCGUUAUUGUGUACUAUUCUCGCUUUCAAUCCACUAUAUAGUUAGGUUUUACUUUUAACACACUAUUAAGGGAUUUUGUGUAACCCAAUCAUAUUCUAUGUUUUUUCUUUUUCCUCCAAUUAAGAAAAAAGAAGAAGAGAGAGAGAUCUGAGCCGAUAACUAAUUUAAUUUAAACAUUUGAUUGAUAAAUUUAGCGGCGAGGAUCAGUUAUCACUUACAGCCGAAAGGUGGUCCCCACUCACCUGAAUCUCUGAAGUAACGAAUUUACAUGUUUCAUGCGAUUUCCCAAAAAAAAUUAUUAGAACAAGUCAACAACUCUCUCUGGCUAGGAUCCAAUAUGGAUCUUCCUCUUUCUUCUUCCCUUAGUUAAUCGCAGUCGCUAUCAAAUUUCCGAUGAGAUCCCCGGUGAACUCUUUGACCAGAGGUGGUUUUCUUGGUAAUAGCACUGUGAACACUUAUUAUAGAGUUUUUUUUCUUUUUUUUUCAAAUGAAUCAAUGUAAAGUAGUGUUAGGGUUCGUUGUUGGUUACAUAGGUUGUUUUGGUUAGUUAUGUUUUUCAAUUCAAUCGAUACUGUGAACACUGUUCCUCUCUUUUGUUCUUACCUUCUAUCAAAUUGUUGUUUCAUGGAAGAUGUGAUUAGGGAAACUUGAUCUGUGAAACUCUCGAGCAAGAAUUCGUGAACGAUAUCUUCAAUAGGUGGAUCCGGUUCAUACAGAUCUGGUGUAUGUGUCUUCUCCUACAACACUACCAUCUGAGUCGUUCACAGAUCUAAUGGCUGAUGUGACGUAUGCACAAUUAGCUCAGUGCGUAUGCUGCCUAGUCUUUUUAGAGCCUUUGGAACAAAGCCUUUGCUGGGUGCUGUUGGAAGAACUAGCAGGUUGGUGCUGGUGUUGGAAGAUUGGGGAUUAAAGAUGAAAUCCACACACCUAAGGAUCAACACCCAAGACUUUUUAGGUGAAGUAGGGAAGAAAUUGAUGGACUUGGAGCUAGAAGGAUUGGAGUAAUUGGUGAGUCAAUCCUCGGGUGUAAGCCCCACUGUCCAAUUUCUGAGAAUCAAGCAGUUUCUAUUUUCAAUUCAGAUCCUGAUAUCCACAAUUCUGCAUAGUCUCAGACGUUUAGAGUCGAACAAUAUCUUGUAUACGGUUAAUUCUUCACUAAUUGAAAAAAUAGAUCUAACGAAAUUGUUGUGUUGCCAACGAAACAAGGUGAAAUAGAUCUGCGAAGUGUAUGGAACACGAUCCGUUUGGAAAGCAGAACUACUUCCUCUAUAGAACAUAAGCAGUGGAGAAGGAAAUAAGUAAAAUCUCAUAAAUGAACAAAUCUUUUAUUUCUUUUUACAAA